UGGAUGGCUUACAAUUCAUCUCAACCACCUACUAGCUGAGUUUCCGUGGUUAAAUUGUUCAGAUUAAGUUUCUUCCUCCUUAUUGAUCAAAAAGGAAUGAUAGUUUCUACCUUCCUCAAUUUUGGCACAGAUUCACUUACACGUAGAGCAUACAAAACAAAAAACAAAAAAAGCCAACAACAACCUUACCUCGGUGUAGACGAAGUCCAGAAAUGUUGAAAUCCUUACUAUCAUUAUACUAGUUAAUUUACCUCUAAACGUCGUGGGGCUCUUUCCUUUCCUCGGCAGGUGAAAGGAGGGUGCGAACGUGAAGGAAGGAAGGCGCCCACUGCAGCUGCGCGGCAGGGAGGCACGUGGGGGCGGGGCUGCCCGGAAGGUGCGCGUCAGAGGUCGGGGCCUCGGAGGGCUUUGACGACGUCCCACGUGUCCUUCACCCGGUGCUGGCAGUAAUAAUCCCCGCCCCCCGCCUCCCGGACGACAGAAGCGCAGUCGGACGGGCGUGGCGCCGCCCAGCGUGUUCUGGAAGAAGCCACCCCGCAGCACAGUGGUGCCCAGGAGCCUGCGGGGUGAGAAGGUGGUCUCAGCCGGAGGGAGAAGGUUUUUGGCAACAAGGGAUGAGAUUUGAAGCUGAAUGUUAAGGGCCUAUAGGGCAAGAUGCUCAGACAAGGCACCUGCUGAACCCUUCGAGUUCACUGCUCUUCUUGUCCCCAAGAGCUGUGGGAUGAACCAGAAAAAUCAUGCUCCCUAUGUUGUUUUGAUUAUGGUAGCAAGAGAUCCAGUGGACACUUGUGAGCUGAAAUUUGGUGGUGCUGUCAGGCCUGGGACUUCAAUCUGCAGAGAAGCAAUUCCAAGUUGCUGUGGGUGUCUGUUGUAGAGGAGACCUCUGGAGAAGGCAGUGAGUGAGAUGCUGUGAUUCUCUCAACUCCAGACUUGGACUUGAGGCUGUAAAUGAUGAGUGGACUAUCUAUUGUGUCAUCACUAACAAAUCCAGAUAAGCUCUGAGGUGAGAACCACCCCUAGAUGAUCAGGCAAAGCCUGACAAGAAGCCAAGAAUCAGCUCCUGAUGGGGGCUCCGUGAAUGCAUGCACCACUCUUAACCAAGGCAUUUUCACUCUGUAAUUUGCAUGGUGUAUUUUCUGUCUACCCUGCCUGAAAAUAUUUCCUUUUGGACUUAGCUACAAAGCAAAAUUCUUGGUACUGUUGGAAGGUGCACAGAAACGCACUGAAAAAAAACAUUCACCUAUAAGAAAUUUGAUUCCCAGGAGGAUGAAUGAGCUCUUGAGGUCAAGUGUAGCUCUAGAAUUUUAUGAAUGUAUGGGAUUUUUUAUUUACUGCUCUGUGAAUUGCCUCCUAAACUAAGAAAAUGCUCAAGGUUCUUUUGGAUACAAGAAACCUCUGGGUACAAUGUUCUUAUACCAAGAGUGACCACUGACUAUAAAGAGAGUUCUUAGAAAGAGAACAUGAAUGAAAGUCAAUUAACAAUGAGUUACAACUCCUUAAAUACAAGAGUUCCUUAUAACCUUACAAAAGAGCAUUUGUAAUUUCAAACUACUAAGAAGGAGAUGAACCACCCACCUUCCAGCUAAUGAUGUUUUCUUAUAAACAGAUUUCAGUAAAUGACAGUCUUAAUCUAAAAUGUGGGUCUGUGAUCCCAACUGCUACAACAUUCUGGCAUUGUCUUGAUUGGUCAUAGCAAUAUAUACACUUACUACAAUAGAGAGUACUGCAUUGUGAGUACCGACAUCACACAGUUGUCUUUAAUUUUUAUUAAAAAAUUUUUUUUACCGUUUAUUUAUUUUUGAGACAGAGAGAGACAGAGCAUGAACGGGGGAGGGUCAGGGAGAGAGGGAGACACACAAUCUGAACCAGGCUCCAGGCUCUAAGCUGUCAGCACAGAGCCCGACGCGGGGCUUGAACUCACAGACCACGAGAUCAUGACUUGAGCUGAAGUCGGACACUUAACUGACUCAGCCACCCAUGCGCCCCUUUUUCUCACAGUUGUCUUACUUUAAAUAUCUCCUCUUCCAACCUCUCUGUUGCCAGAGACUUCCAUGCCUGACUUUGUUUCUGAAAAGAAAUCACAUUGAAAUACAGUGUUAUCUCAGAUAGGAAACAUAAAAUGGGCUUGGCUGCUUGUCAAUCUGUCAAGUGUCUCUGUCAACAUCUUUCCCUCUUUCCUUCACAUUUGAGGAAAGAAUUUAAAAAAAGGAUCUUUCCCCAUCUUAGGGUUCAGGGGGACAUCUACCCAACUCAUUUUGUGAUGGACAAGAAAGGUUCCUGGUCUAAAAAAUCAUACUUAGGAUAGCGGAAAUGACAUCAAAUUGUAGUUUUCUCUU
Acinonyx jubatus (cheetah) is the source of this 2336-nucleotide long non-coding RNA. RefSeq lists it as uncharacterized. The record is from RefSeq and is a predicted model, not a curated record. The transcript is spliced from 8 exons. Lineage: Eukaryota; Metazoa; Chordata; Mammalia; Carnivora; Felidae.